Molecule: ribosomal RNA, 436 nt
Filed under: Streptococcus sobrinus
Lineage: Bacteria; Bacillati; Bacillota; Bacilli; Lactobacillales; Streptococcaceae
Description: bacterial SSU rRNA
Rfam family: Bacterial small subunit ribosomal RNA
Source: RNAcentral
GACGAACGCUGGCGGCGUGCCUAAUACAUGCAAGUGGAACGCAUUGGUAACACCGGACUUGCUCCAGUGUUACUAAUGAGUCGCGAACGGGUGAGUAACGCGUAGGUAACCUGCCUGAUAGCGGGGGAUAACUAUUGGAAACGAUAGCUAAUACCGCAUAAGAGGAGUUAACUCAUGUUAACUGUUUAAAAGAAGCAAUGGCUUCACUAUCAGAUGGACCUGCGUUGUAUUAGCUAGUAGGUAGGGUAACGGCCUACCUAGGCACCGAUACAUAGCCGACCUGAGAGGGUGAACGGCCACACUGGGACUGAGACACGGCCCAGACUCCUACGGGAGGCAGCAGUAGGGAAUCUUCGGCAAUGGACGCAAGUCUGACCGAGCAACGCCGCGUGAGUGAAGACGGUUUUCGGAUCGUAAAGCUCUGUUGUAGGGGAAG